Molecule: ribosomal RNA, 434 nt
Filed under: uncultured Pseudoflavonifractor sp.
Lineage: Bacteria; Bacillati; Bacillota; Clostridia; Eubacteriales; Oscillospiraceae
Description: partial 16S ribosomal RNA
Rfam family: Bacterial small subunit ribosomal RNA
Source: RNAcentral
ACGGAAGGCAGCAGUGGGGAAUAUUGGGCAAUGGGCGCAAGCCUGACCCAGCGACGCCGCGUGAGGGAAGACGGUCUUCGGAUUGUAAACCUCUUUCAGCAGGGAAGAUAAUGACGGUACCUGCAGAAGAAGCCACGGCUAACUACGUGCCAGCAGCCGCGGUAAUACGUAGGUUGCAAGCGUUGUCCGGAUUUACUGGGUGUAAAGGGCGUGUAGGCGGAGCUGCAAGUCAGAUGUGACAUCCCGGGGCUCAACCCCGGAACUGCAUUUGAAACUGUAGCCCUUGAGUAUCGGAGAGGCAAGCGGAAUUCCUAGUGUAGCGGUGAAAUGCGUAGAUAUUAGGAGGAACACCAGUGGCGAAGGCGGCUUGCUGGACGACAACUGACGCUGAGGCGCGAAAGCGUGGGGAGCAAACAGGAUUAGAUACCCUGGUA